This 403-nucleotide ribosomal RNA is filed under the name Verrucomicrobiota bacterium. RNAcentral describes it as "Verrucomicrobia bacterium partial 16S ribosomal RNA". It matches the Rfam family "Bacterial small subunit ribosomal RNA", at positions 355 to 776 of the family's 1533-position model. Lineage: Bacteria; Pseudomonadati; Verrucomicrobiota. The record is from RNAcentral.
UGGGGAUUAUUGCACAAUGGGGGAAACCCUGAUGCAGCGACGCCGCGUGAGCGAAGAAGGCUUUCGAGUCGUAAAGCUCUGUCCUAUGAGAAGAUAAUGACGGUAUCAUAGGAGGAAGCCCUGGCUAAAUACGUGCCAGCAGCCGCGGUAAUACGUAUGGGGCGAGCGUCGUCCGGAAUUAUUGGGCGUAAAGGGUACGUAGGUGGUUUUUUAAGUCAGGUGUCAAAGCGUGGAGCUUAACUCCAUUAAGCACUUGAAACUGAAAGACUUGAGUGAAGGAGAGGAAAGUGGAAUUCCUAGUGUAGCGGUGAAAUGCGUAGAUAUUAGGAGGAAUACCGGUGGCGAAGGCGACUUUCUGGACUUUUACUGACGCUCAGGUACGAAAGCGUGGGGAGCAAACAGG